This 252-nucleotide ribosomal RNA is filed under the name uncultured bacterium. RNAcentral describes it as "partial 16S ribosomal RNA". It matches the Rfam family "Bacterial small subunit ribosomal RNA", at positions 524 to 776 of the family's 1533-position model. The record is from RNAcentral.
UACGUAGGUCCCGAGCGUUGUCCGGAUUUAUUGGGCGUAAAGCGAGCGCAGGUGGUUUAUUAAGUCUGGUGUAAAAGGCAGUGGCCCAACCAUUGUAUGCAUUGGAAGCUGGUAGACUUGAGUGCAGGAGAGGAGAGUGGAAUUCCAUGUGUAGCGGUGAAAUGCGUAGAUAUAUGGAGGAACACCGGUGGCGAAAGCGGCUCUCUGGCCUGUAACUGACACUGAGGCUCGAAAGCGUGGGGAGCAAACAGG